Molecule: RNA transcript, 3487 nt
Organism: Esox lucius (northern pike)
Lineage: Eukaryota; Metazoa; Chordata; Actinopteri; Esociformes; Esocidae
Gene: cirbpa
Gene name: cold inducible RNA binding protein a
Exons: 8
Source: RefSeq, a predicted model, not a curated record
UUUAAAUACUUUGCAAGCACUCGUAACAGCCAGAGUGCGCGCAUCCAUUUCUUUUGCGACGACGUGCCUCUCCAAGCAUCAGCCAUUCUCUCUCUGUCCUCUAAAGACAAAGAAACAUGUCCGACGAGGGAAAACUUUUCGUCGGCGGCCUAAGCUUCGACACCACAGAAGAGUCUCUGGCAGAAGCGUUCGCCAAGUAUGGGAACAUCGCAAAAGUUGAUGUCAUCAGAGACAAAGAAACAGGACGGUCUCGGGGAUUCGGCUUUGUAAAGUACGAUAAUGCAGAGGACGCGAAGGAUGCCUUGGAGGGGAUGAACGGCAAGUCUGUAGACGGCAGAACGAUUCGUGUGGAUGAAGCUGGAAAGGGAGGUGGCCGCUCUGGAGGCGGCGGAUUCAGGGGUUCCAGGGGCGGUGGUGGUUAUGGCGGUGGAGGUGGAUACGGAGGGGGGAGAGGAAGAGGUGGGCGAGGUUACUUGCGAGGUGGCGGAGGAUAUGGCGGUGGCGGUGACCGGGGAUAUGGUGAGAGGAGCUACGGUGGCGGUGGAGACCGCAGCUAUGGCGGUGGAGACAGAAGUUACGGCGGCGGCGGCGGAUACAGGAGUGGUGGCGGCGGCGGCUAUUCAUCUGGCGGCGGCGGAGGAUACAGAGACAAUAGGGGCCAGGGUGGCUAUGGGGACCGAUCUGGGGGAUCCUACAGAGACAGCUACGACAGCUAUGGGUGAAUGUACCCUCUGAAGACUAACCUGAAUGUUCCAGUCAGAUUGUGAUGGGCCAGAAUUGUGGUGACAACUGUGACUCAGACUUUCAGGUCCAGUGUGUGCGCAGCCAUGGAAUACAUCAACUCUGGAAUUUGGCUUUGGCAGAAUGCCAUGUAUUUUAUGCAGUCACCGAUUCCCAAAUUGAGGGAAUAUUCAAGUUUCCCAAUUCCCAUCGUAAACAUUUGGUAUUGAGAUCCUUUACUUGGUCUGAGGGUCCUUAUUCUUAGUGUUCUGUUUCGUAGAAUUCUUAAAUUCCUUUUUAAACUUUAAAAUGCAAUCAUUGGUGACUAGCGUGACAGCUUAAUGUGCUGCUUAGUGUUUGCACAGAAAACAAAUCUACUGUACAUCAAAUGAUCCUCCUAACGACGAACGCUGAAUGGUGUAACGUUCCCACGUGUGCAAAUGUGUGAUGAAAGGGAACAAAAUGCAUGCACAUGGUAGCCAAUUUAAAACAUUUGUGGCUAGUCUGUUUUUAGUUAUAUUUAACUUAAAUUUUGUCCAAUAAUGUGUUUUAUCCUUCUCUAUGUAUUGCGGCUGAUUGCUGUUAUCAGCAAGCCUCUCAGUGCUGCUGCAUAUUGCUGAGAAGGACUCGAUUGUAUUCCAAGGUGGGGGGAAAUGGCUAUCCUGUCUAAAAACCUGUUCAAGUACACUGCAAAUGUGUCCUUUAUAUUCUCAUUUAAUAUUCACAAUUCACAAAUACAUCAGCUUUUGUAUGUAGUUAAGUUGCUACUGCCAGUGAUCUAAUUAAGGUAAAUUUUCACUGGUGAGGUUUUAUUAAAGGAAAAGGUUGCUGUUUUUGAACCUGGGGCCUAUUUGGAUUAUCUAACUUGAUCCUAGGUCAUAGAGAAAUUUGUUAAUUAUUUCAAUUUUUACGAUUUUAUUUUACUCUGCCGUCUCUGGGCUCAAAUGGAACUGAAUGGGGCAACUGAUGUAGCGUUUGAAAAUAUGAUACAUUCGGUUUCCCAAAUUGGAAGGCCAUAGGUCUCUAUAUGUUCUCCAGAAACAAUUGUGCCAAAACAACAAUUGUGCCAAAACAAGCAUUUUAUCAAUGGUUAUGUUCUACAUGAAAGCAAACUAACUUUUUCAUAAACAUUCCCUCACAACAUCUGUAAACUUCCACACUCAAGCUAACAGUGUGCUGUUUCAAAUCAGCUGAACUACGGUGCUAACCUCAUUGGAGUUCACCAGCUAACAAGCACAGUUUUCGGACAUGUAUGAACAUUUUCCAAGACUGUGCAGUCCCCUAUUGUGUUAUUAAAAUGAUAUCUAACUAAUUGUAUAAUAGACAGGUCAUUAUUCUGGAAUGUUAACAGUCAGGGAAAGUAACUGACAUGGCCGUUCCCAACAGUAUCAAAAUCAUGCCAAUACUCCAUAGUCAUUUUAGUACCUCCCCAUAUUAUUCCUGCAGAACACGGCGUAUGACAACAUUAUCCAAAUAGCUAUUACAUGCCUACUAACUGCCCGGUUAAGAGCUUAAGAGGGAGUGCUGUCUGUUGCACACACUGGAGCCGAUUCAGCCUCAUCAAUGGAUACAUAUAGCUUCUCAGUGGCAUUAGGUAGCAAAUAAAUCCCACUCCUAACAUGAUCUACAGUUUGUAAACGGUUACUGGUUAAAUCCUUCUCGCAUUUACCAGCCGCUAAUACAACUUGCUUGCAUUUUUGCUGGUAGUCUAUACUAGCUAAUGUGAGCUACAGUUUUGUAAGCAAAGCCAGUUAAGGAUAAAGCCUCACAGACCGAUUAAUUGGCCCGGCAUUUGCUUAUACAUUUUCCAGAAAGAAUAAACAGCGAUAACCUUUGAUACAGUGCUUGUUUUGGCACAAAUGCAGAGACCCAGAUCUAUAUACCCUGGACUUCCCGUUUUGGAAAACCAAAUAUAUAUGUUUUCAAAUGCUAUAUCGGUUGCCCCGUUCACUUCCAUUGUAGAAUAAAAAAAAAAAAUGAAUAAUUCCCCCCAAAAAUCUCUACAGUACAGAAUUGUUUGAUAAUCAGAAAAAUGGCACCAGGUUCAAAAAUAGCAAACCUUUCUUUUAAGCAUUAUUGCACAAAGAUAGUGUUUGGAAUUGAAGUCAAAAAAUCUGAGUGGCUUAAACAAAUGCACAUCCUUGUUUGAGCCAUUUUAGCCUAAACAGUUGUAGCAGACAGUAUUUUAGUUAAGAAAUGAUCAUUCUGUAGGCUUACCAAUUUUUGUCAGUUGGCAGACACCACAGCAAAUUAAUAGGAGCAGUUGAAGUCCUUUGCUCAGUGCACAAGGACAUGUUUUUGAGCGAAUCAGUUUCUCAUUGAUAAAAGUCUAAUUUGUACUGUAACUUUUAACAAAUAUUUUUUUCAGGUGGUUUGUAUUGAAUCAAAUCUGCAGAUGUAUUGAAUCAAAUCUGUCUUUGCCAAACUACUGUUAUGCUUCUGGGAUGCUGUACUGACUGGUUUGCAUUUGUGUAGAAUUUCAACAUUCAUUUAGGUAUUUGAUCCAAUUGCAGGGUAUUGGCCUUCAAAUUUGCAAUGCCUGUAACCAUUGAUUUGAUUAAAUCCCAGCCUUAUUGUUGUUAACAAUGUUCAUGGCUUUUAAAGGUCAGUAUUUAAUGUUUCACUAGCUUGCCAGUUGUUUUAAUAAUGUGAUGUAUUCUGUAUUUGAGAAAUGUCAAACUGCUAAGAAGUUGCUCUAUCUUGCAUUAAUGGAAAACUAUUUAAGUAAAGCAAUAAAUGGGUUGUUAGCCACAGCCAUUGAAAUAUA